Molecule: microRNA precursor, 124 nt
Filed under: Brassica carinata (Ethiopian mustard)
Lineage: Eukaryota; Viridiplantae; Streptophyta; Magnoliopsida; Brassicales; Brassicaceae
Also listed under: 1 other name
Description: MIR9563 microRNA precursor family
Rfam family: MIR9563 microRNA precursor family
Source: Rfam by way of RNAcentral
GGAGUAUAAGAAACGGUUUUUUAACUUUUAACUAAAAAAACUAAGAACCGACUCUUAAAUAUUUUAUUUAAGAACCGGUUCUUAGUUUUUUAGUUAAAAGCUAAGAGACUAUUUUUUAUAUUUU